This 588-nucleotide ribosomal RNA is filed under the name Moesziomyces aphidis. Its description in RNAcentral is "eukaryotic LSU rRNA". It matches the Rfam family "Eukaryotic large subunit ribosomal RNA", at positions 66 to 635 of the family's 3401-position model. Lineage: Eukaryota; Fungi; Basidiomycota; Ustilaginomycetes; Ustilaginales; Ustilaginaceae. The record is from RNAcentral.
UAACAAGGAUUCCCCUAGUAACGGCGAGUGAAGAGGGAAGAGCCCAAGAUUGAAAGCUGGCGUCUUCGGCGUCCGCAUUGUAAUCUCAAGAAGUGUUUUCCGCUUCGGACCAAGCCUAAGUCCCUUGGAAAAGGGCAUCAUAGAGGGUGAUAAUCCCGUACAUGGCUUGGAGCGCCCGAAGCUUUGUGAUACGCUUUCUAAGAGUCGAGUUGUUUGGGAAUGCAGCUCAAAAUGGGUGGUAAAUGCCAUCUAAGGCUAAAUAUUGGGGAGAGACCGAUAGCGAACAAGUACAGUGAUGGAAAGAUGAAAAGAACUUUGAAAAGAGAGUUAAACAGUACGUGAAAUUGCCAAAAGGGAAGGGUAGGAGGUCAGAGAUGCGGCCUGGGAUUCAGCCUUGCUUUUGCUUGGUGUUUUUCCCAGAUUGCAGGCCAACGUCGGUUUUGGGCACUGGAGAAGGGUAGGAGGAACGUGGCACCUCUCGGGGUGUGUUAUAGCCUCCUACUGGAUACAGCGACCGAGACCGAGGACAGCAGCGUACUCGCAAGAGCGGGCCUUCGGGCACCUUUACGCUUAGGGCGUUGGCAUAAU